This is a long non-coding RNA of Cucumis melo (muskmelon), 883 nucleotides long. RefSeq lists it as uncharacterized. The record is from RefSeq and is a predicted model, not a curated record. Lineage: Eukaryota; Viridiplantae; Streptophyta; Magnoliopsida; Cucurbitales; Cucurbitaceae. The transcript has 2 exons.
AAAUUUUUGGAAUUUCCUAUUUCACGCAAUUAAAAUCUAUUAUCCAUGCAUUUCCCCCUCUCACUGCCAAAAAUGUUCAAAUCCCUUGUCGUGGAAAACUCCUCCAGCUGCUAACAUCUAUUUGAAACGCUAAAAAACCCUUGCCUUCCAAUUUUCCCCCACCCGUCGCCAUCGAAACAAUUUUCUAGCCACCGCCAUCCAAACACCACAACAAGGCAACGCCAUCGAACCGAGAAAUCUAGCCACUAUCGUCGAAUUUUGCAACGCCUUCGAAUAAAGAAAUCUAGCCACUACGGUCAAAUUUUGGGUCGCAACGCCGUCUAAAUCAAGUUCACAUCAUCUUCGUUCGUUGUCUUCCGCCAUCCGAUGCUUCUUCUUGGUCAUUCCUUCAUUCGAUUCGUUCUCUAUUCAUUCCUAUAAUGCUUCUUAUUGCUCCGAAAGCUCCUUCUCCAGUUCUGCUCGUGGUGAAGGAUCCUCCGUCCGAUGACAUCUACUCCGUCCGGUGGUUAUUGCUGUAAAUUUUCAUUUAGCUUGAAGUCAAGACAUUUUAAUCUUCCUAACUCCCAUAAGUCAUCUAAGAAGCUUUUUUUUUUUUUUGUGCUAUUUUUGUGGGCUUUGGAGUGGAAGAAAUAAUAAAAUUCUUAGAGCAAUUGGAAAAUUUGUUAGGGAGUUGAUGGGUUCUUUAAAUUUUAAAAACUCAUCAUUUUAACACAUCCAAAUUCAUUUGAAAUCAUCUAACCAAAGGUAAAAACAAUAAGAUUAACCAAAUGGAGCAAGUAGUUUGAGGCCUCCGGAUGGUUGGUGACACUUCAUUGUACUUUAACUAUGAAUAAUGUUUCAAAUUUUACAUCAUACGUAGACGCUUCCUCCUUGCCCUCUCUUC